RNAcentral lists this small RNA (1511 nucleotides) under Vigna angularis var. angularis. Its description in RNAcentral is "Non-protein coding transcript". Lineage: Eukaryota; Viridiplantae; Streptophyta; Magnoliopsida; Fabales; Fabaceae. The record is from RNAcentral.
AUGUGCUCUCUCUCGAAAUGUUUCCCCUUUCUUUCUCGACAAAGCUCUUUCUCCAGAAAACCUAAAAUGCUCCCUCUUGCUUGUCCUUCGAUUCUCCCAAUCACGAGAUUGCUUUUCUUCAUUGAGCUGUCGCAGCUGAGUUGCAGUGUGGCAGUAGCAUUUUGAUCUUUUGACCAUCGCGAGUUGGAAGCUUUGAGCUUGUUUUAUUGAUUGCUUUCUUUGUCGAAGCCUAGAGCUGUGGUUGUCCCUGUCUCGAGCCCUUUCCACUUUCGUUGUCCAUCGCGCUCUGGUUCUUCAUCCUCUCUCUCGAGCUGUCUCCUUCAUCAAACACUGUUGUUGGGCGUCAUUGUUCGGUUCGGUUCGGUGUUGGAAAGAAUACUUUCAUCUGCUGUGGUUGGAGUGUUAGGAAGCAUCCAUUGAGGGUACUGUGUGGCGGUUUAAGAAGAUUGUUACUCGUAUUAAGGACGAAGACAUAUAUUAUUUGGAGUUACGAAGGCCCUUAGUGAAGGAAGCAAAGGUGAGUGAGUUCCUUUGGACUAUUACAAUUCUGUCUUUGUUUGAUUCAGUGUUGUGUUGAUCUGUAUGGCUGUUAUUAGUUGUCUUCAAUUCACAUGUUGUUCAUCGUUAUCCUUUACUGUCUUGUGUUCUGAGUUUUUAAUCAUUGUUUCUUUGAUUAAUUAGGUUUCGAAAUCCUGUUGAAUUUGUGUUGGGUAUAUAGGGAAGUAUUGUAUGAUUUCAUUACAUGAAAUAAGGUUACAUGUUAGCAGUAAGAAACCUGUCAUAACAAUUUGAAGUCAAAUAACCACAUAUAACAAGAAAAAUAACGUACUAUCAAUAUGCCGAAUCCAAUGUCUCAAAUAACUUCCCAAUAAUCAACAAAUUUACUAAUAAUAAAGCAGUCCAACAAUGACAAAGGUAAAAGAUUUCAGUGAUUAAGAAUAUAUAGAGGAUGAUGGAGAAACUAAUAAAAAAUUUAAGCAAAAUAAUAUUAAGCCAGAGAUGAAGUUCAAGUUGUUGAAUGUGACGAGGUUGGAACACAAACAGAGACAACACUGACACAAUAACCACACAAAAAUAUUAGCAAAAUUUAUGCUUCGUAGAUCAUAUAGAAUACCAAAGAUGACAUGAACAAAUAUUCUUAACAAUAGACCACUAACACGCAAAAUGUAUACUAACAAUGUCCUCAACCUUGCCGAAGCAUAAGUUAAAAUAAGAUAUAAUUCAUUUCCUAACUAAGAUAUAAUUCAUUUCCUGAUCAUGUGGGUAGAAUUGGGUGGAGUGGUAUAAAUUCAAAACUUUGAGUCUGGAAAUCUGCUGCCACAGGGCAUGUAUUUUUGCCCAAAAGAAAAGAAUUUUGUCAAAAGAUGAAGGGUAAAUUUCCUUAAGUCACACUAUACUGCUCAUCUAUUCAUUAUGCUAAUCAAUCAUUGUUUGUCCAUGACAACAGGCAAAUUAAUACUAUGUUGUUAUAUGAUAUCUCAAAGCAAAGAAAAGAGCCUGAGUAAUGAUUC